Molecule: long non-coding RNA, 821 nt
Filed under: Pogona vitticeps (central bearded dragon)
Lineage: Eukaryota; Metazoa; Chordata; Lepidosauria; Squamata; Agamidae
Description: lncRNA (ENSPVIG00000022769.1)
Source: RNAcentral
CUCAAGCAGAAGCUGAGCACCUCUCAGCAGGCAGCGGCAAAGUACUCCAGACUUGCUGAGGAGGCUUCUCUGGCCCAAGCAGAGGCCGAAAAGGGCCGAGCAGAGGCCAAAGCUCAGGAAAAGUUGUGCCGAGAGCAACAUGAGGCAGUUCAACUGGAAAAUCUCAGCUUGAAAGAAGAAACACAGCUGCUGAAGAGAAAGUUAACAGAAAUGCAGCUCCUCUUAACACAAGUGGAAAAGAGUCACUUUGAAAGUCAGCUGAAACUAGAGAGAAUAACAAUGGAGAGAGAAGUUAUCAGUGAAGAAAAAAGAUAUUUGGAGCAUGAAAGAAAUGAGCUGAAACAGAAACUGAAAGGAACAAUAGAAGAGAAUUCUAAGUGUAAAGAAAAUGAAAUCUCUCAAAGAUGCCGAACUGAAGCUGCUGAAGAGGCUUUAGAAAAAGCAACUCUUCUGCAUUAUGAGGCUGAAAGGGAGAGGCGUUUGUUGGAACUUGACAAAGAAGAGAAGGAAAAACAGUGUGAGAUAUGGAUGAAGAAGUACAAUGCUUUAGCCGACCUCUUGCAUUCUCAAGAAGAGGAAAAAUCAAAAAGGCAAAAUAAAGCUGUAUGUACUACUUUAAAACAAUAUAUAUCUUAUGGGCAAAGUACUCUGUGAAUGAUUCUGAUAAAGAUUCCAGGGGCUGAAAUAGGAUCCUCUUGGCCCAGUGCUGAGAAGUGGCAAGGUGAGCUAUUUCAAACUGCAGGGUGACACAGUGUAACUUUAAGCAUUUGAUUUUUAAAUGUGCUUCACUGGGGGCCCAAUGGCUGCUUUUGGUAGAUAAA